CAGAUUAGCUAGUUGGUGGGGUAAUGGCCUACCAAGGCCGCGAUCUGUAGCUGGUUUGAGAGGACGACCAGCCACACUGGGACUGAGACACGGCCCAGACUCCUACGGGAGGCAGCAGUGGGGAAUUUUGGACAAUGGGGGCAACCCUGAUCCAGCCAUCCCGCGGUGUGCGAUGAAGGCCUUCGGGUUGUAAAGCACUUUUGGCAGGGAAGAAAAGGCGCAGGCUAAUACCCUGUGCUGCUGACGGUACCUGCAGAAUAAGCACCGGCUAACUACGUGCCAGCAGCCGCGGUAAUACGUAGGGUGCAAGCGUUAAUCGGAAUUACUGGGCGUAAAGCGUGCGUCGGCGGUUUGGCAAGAAAGGUGUGAAAUCCCAGAGCUUAACU
RNAcentral lists this ribosomal RNA (386 nucleotides) under uncultured bacterium. RNAcentral describes it as "bacterial SSU rRNA". It matches the Rfam family "Bacterial small subunit ribosomal RNA", at positions 237 to 614 of the family's 1533-position model. The record is from RNAcentral.